RNAcentral lists this ribosomal RNA (818 nucleotides) under uncultured bacterium. Its description in RNAcentral is "bacterial SSU rRNA". It matches the Rfam family "Bacterial small subunit ribosomal RNA", at positions 16 to 836 of the family's 1533-position model. The record is from RNAcentral.
AUCCUGGGCUCAGAACGAACGCUGGCGGCGCGUUUCAGGCAUGCAAGUCGAAGGCUCUAUUUUUGCUUGCAAUGAUAGAGACUGGCGAACGGGUGAGUAACACGUGAGAAUCUAGCCUGAGGUGGGGGAUAGCCUAUGGAAACAUAGGAUAAUACCGCAUAUGCUGAGAAGUGAAAGAGGCAAUUGUCUCGCCUUGGGGUGAGCUUGCGGUCCAUUAGCUAGUUGGUAGGGUAAAGGCCUACCAAGGCUACGAUGGAUAGCCGGCCUGAGAGGGUGUACGGCCACAUUGGGACUGAGACACGGCCCAGACUCCUACGGGAGGCAGCAGCUAAGAAUAUUCCGCAAUGGGAGAAAUCCUGACGGAGCGACGCCGCGUGGACGAUGAAGGCAGAAAUGUUGUAAAGUCCUUUUAUAUGGGAAGAAUAAUGACAGGAGUGGAAAGCUUGUCAGAUGACGGUACCAUAUGAAUAAGCCCCGGCUAACUACGUGCCAGCAGCCGCGGUAAUACGUAGGGGGCUAGCGUUGUUCGGAUUCAUUGGGCGUAAAGGGCAUGUAGGCGGUUAUAUAAGUGUGAAUUUAAAGGCUUAGGCUUAACCUAAUGUAUGGUUUGCAAACUGUAUAACUAGAGUAUAGGAUGGGAAACUGGAAUUCCGCGUGUAGGGAUGAAAUCUGUAGAGAUGCGGAAGGAUACCGGUGGCGAAGGCGAGUUUCUGGCCUGUAACUGACGCUAAUAUGCGAAAGUGUGGGGAGCAAACAGGAUUAGAUGCCCUGGUAGUCCACACUGUAAACGUUGCACACUAGGUGUUAGUAGUUUGUUC